Molecule: non-coding RNA, 77 nt
Filed under: uncultured Sphingomonas sp.
Lineage: Bacteria; Pseudomonadati; Pseudomonadota; Alphaproteobacteria; Sphingomonadales; Sphingomonadaceae
Description: chrB-a RNA
Rfam family: chrB-a RNA
Source: RNAcentral
CAUGGGGAUUGCGAUCUCCCCACGAGGCGUCAGCCAGAGCAUCGCGUCCAGCACGAACACGCAAGGGACGCAUCAUG